This 165-nucleotide ribosomal RNA is filed under the name Tessmannia macrantha. RNAcentral's name for it is "Tessmannia sp. ME-2017a 5.8S ribosomal RNA". It matches the Rfam family "5.8S ribosomal RNA". From Rfam's summary of the family: 5.8S ribosomal RNA (5.8S rRNA) is a component of the large subunit of the eukaryotic ribosome. It is transcribed by RNA polymerase I as part of the 45S precursor that also contains 18S and 28S rRNA. The record is from RNAcentral. Lineage: Eukaryota; Viridiplantae; Streptophyta; Magnoliopsida; Fabales; Fabaceae.
AACGACUCUCGGCAACGGAUAUCUCGGCUCUCGCAUCGAUGAAGAACGUAGCGAAAUGCGAUACUUGGUGUGAAUUGCAGAAUCCCGCGAACCAUCGAGUUUUGAACGCAAGUUGCGCCCGRARCCAUUAGSCCRRGGSCAGKUUGGSUUGGGUGUCACGCAACG